AUUCCAAUUUCAAGUUGGUGAGCGUAAAACAUUGAUACUACGUUAUUCUGAGUUCUAAUUGGUGAAAAAUUAAUUGCAAUAUUCUAAAUAUCAAUUAUAGGCACAAUGUUUGGCAUUUAAAAAACAGGUCUGUAAAGUAAGGUGUUGCAAGGCUUAUUCAUGUGUCACUAAACAAUCUGGUUUUAGUUUACUUUCCAUUUCUUUUUCGGUGAACUUUACUAGCAAACAUGACAAACGUCAUUGAAGUGAAAGUCGAUGACAACCCCCUUCUUGCACAAAUACUACAACUCGCUAAAGAAAUUCAGCAUGAAGACGUCUUGCGUCAGACUACCAAGCCUCCUAUCAAUAUAUUCUCCCAUGUUGGCUACAUCAACACUUCAAACAGCAGAGCCUUGGUGAGUUCGACUUCCGUCUCAGCAUCGAUGUCGCUUAGCAACAAUUGGAUGAUGGGCGUCGACAAAUUAGGCCGGACAAGUCGCUCGAACUGAAACGAUCUGAUCCAACAGGUAGAGCAGGCGUUGCGUGACACGUCCGUUAAUGUGACUGACCUCGAUAUGUUGUUCUCGAAUAAUGUGAACCUUAGGCCUGGAGAGCAGUAUGCGAUUGACGCCAUUCAACAAAAGUUGUUGUCGGAGUUCUCGGGUUUGGGGUGGCGACUUCAGCGUCGGGACUCACUCCAUCUCUGUCUAUGGCCCAGUCGCAGCAGCAGCAGCAACAAGAACAAUAAGUAGUAUCUUAGCGGUGUUCUGGGAUAUGGGGCUUCAUGUAUGUGCUUAAAUUGUCAUCCCAGAUUUGCUUGUGCAGACUGCACCUACAUUAAGUCCUAUUAAAUUAUCACCCAUGAUUAGUCUGUUAAAUUGUCAUCCCAGAUUAGCCUGUGCAGACUGCACAUACAUUAAGUCCUAUUAAAGUGUCAUCCCAGAUUAGCCUGUGCAGACUGCACAUACAUUAAGCCCUAUUUUUCCCAGAAUGAGGCUCAUAUAGUUUACUUAACAUCAGUAUUUUUUCUGCCUGAUUGAAGAAAAUCUUCUAGCAUCAAAUGAGCCAGUUCCUACAGGAUCCCAUGCAGUCAUAGAUCGGUACCCAGCUGAACAACAGGCUGUCUGGUAAGCUGGGCCCGGAUAGGUGCAGCCAGUCUAAAGCUGGGGCUCCAAACUUUCCUGCCAAGUGGGCUGAUAUUACCUCUUCUACAAGAUGCAUUGGUCCUGUAAUUUACCGUGUAUAAUGUGCAGUGUGUAACUACUCAAAAUUUUAUUUCAAUAGUGUGUGCUUGUUAUACAUUGGUAAUACUCUAUCCUUGCUGCUAACUUAAAUUUAAUUCAUUACGAAAUUGUAAAUAUUCAUGAUAGUUGCCAUUUUGUACUGCCUUGAAAGGGUGCAGGGGGGAGGUCGUAUAGAAUUGUAGAAUUCUCUCCGUCCUUCCAUUCUUCCUUAUGUCCGUCCAGCCCUUUUGGCGUUACACGUUACUUAAUGCAGAUUGGUUAGAUAUGGAUGAAACAUGAUUGUAUCAAGUGUACAGUAUAUAGUAGGCUGUGCGUGUGUUUGUGAAGGGUUUAUUGUAUACCUCAUUUGUAUCAAGAGCCUUCAAACAUAAUUUAUUUCUUAUAUUACUUAAUCAAACAACAUUGAUUGACCUCCAAUAUAACUGAUGCUAUUUCAGAAUGCAUUAAUUAUUUGGUUUACAGGGUCAUAUGUCAGUGAUGCGCAAAGAGAUGGUUUUCUGUUCACAGAGAAAUAUUCUAACAACUCAAACUCAGCCACUACAUCUCAAUAGACAACCUGAAUAUCAAGGCGCUAAGUUUGUUCUGGAUGCAGUUACAGUCACAGCUUUCAAGCCAGCAGCUGUCGAUGUAUUGAGAUUCUCUCCUCUCUAUGUUACCUGACCUGCUGCCUGUGAACAUCCUGCACAUAGAACCUUUACCCCAUUCGAUGUAAUUAAACCGGCCAAUCAAACAGACAGUCUGUUACAGCACUUGUCAUUAGAUUGACGCCAUGCAUGCCUUUGAAGAUCAUUUAUACAUACAAUUUAAGCAUGAUAGUCAAUAAUUGCCUGCGUUGGCUUCUUAAACGACUCGCAGUCCUGAGCAUUUACGAUGGAACUCCUCAUCUUGAAAUAUUGGGAAGGCAGGAAAACGCCUGUCACUGUUAAGA
This is a long non-coding RNA of Dreissena polymorpha, 2151 nucleotides long. RefSeq lists it as uncharacterized. Lineage: Eukaryota; Metazoa; Mollusca; Bivalvia; Myida; Dreissenidae. The transcript has 4 exons. The record is from RefSeq and is a predicted model, not a curated record.